ACGGAGGAUCCAAGCGUUAUCCGGAUUUACUGGGUUUAAAGGGUGCGUAGGCGGAGUGAUAAGUCAGUGGUGAAAGCCUACAGCUUAACUGUAGAACUGCCAUUGAUACUGCCAUUCUGGAGUAUGGUUGAGGUAGCUGGAAUGUGUAAUGUAGCGGUGAAAUGCUUAGAGAUGACGCAGAACACCAGCGGCGAAGGCAGGUUACCAGCCCAUUACUGACGCUGAGGCACGAAAGCGUGGGGAGCAAACAG
This 251-nucleotide ribosomal RNA is filed under the name uncultured prokaryote. RNAcentral describes it as "partial 16S rRNA". It matches the Rfam family "Bacterial small subunit ribosomal RNA", at positions 525 to 775 of the family's 1533-position model. The record is from RNAcentral.